AUGCAUUCCUUACACACAUAUCAGGACAUCCCCUACACACUCCACCUCCUGUGAACAAACUCAUUGGUGGAACAUGAAGGUGGACCCUGGGACCCAGACCUUGAGCUGUGUAAAGGGCCCCCCCCCCAAAAUGGAGCUGCUUCCCGUUCUCCCAGAACAUUGAUUUUGUGACCACAGUUACAAACAGCCUCCAGAGAUCCUGUUCUACACCAGACCAGUGGAGCCAGAUUGCAGCUAGAGCCCAUCAUCAUCCUCAUCUGCUUGUAAGUAGGUAAUCUAGUAUAUUAUUCGUGGCACUAAUCUCUAAUUUACCUCACAUUAAAGAAACACUAUAGUCCC
Molecule: non-coding RNA, 339 nt
Organism: Pelobates cultripes (western spadefoot toad)
Lineage: Eukaryota; Metazoa; Chordata; Amphibia; Anura; Pelobatidae
Source: the annotation of a GenBank genome assembly